UUUCCCUCAGGAUAGCUGGCACUCGCUUGAGCGAGUCUCAUCUGGUAAAGCGAAUGAUUAGAGGCCUUGGGGCCGAAACGACCUCAACCUAUUCUCAAACUUUAAAUGGGUGAGAUCUCUGGCUUGCUUGAACACUGAAGCCACGAGAGUUUUAACAAGGAUCAGAGUGCCUAGUGGGCCAAUUUUGGUAAGCAGAACUGGCGCUGUGGGA
RNAcentral lists this ribosomal RNA (211 nucleotides) under Xenanastatus sp. D2074. RNAcentral describes it as "partial 28S ribosomal RNA". It matches the Rfam family "Eukaryotic large subunit ribosomal RNA", at positions 967 to 1163 of the family's 3401-position model. The record is from RNAcentral. Lineage: Eukaryota; Metazoa; Arthropoda; Insecta; Hymenoptera; Eupelmidae.